GUCCGAGAGGAUAUCGGUACGCGGACCACCCUCUACCGGCAGUACCAAUGUUUUGAUCGGUACCGAGGCAUACCGACCUGUCACGGACUUAGCUGGUUUUGCCUAAGUCGUGCGGCACCGUUGCGUGUCCGUCCGCAAAGGUCAGUCUCCCCGAAACCUCCCAUGGUCCCUUAGGACCUACAAAAGAGAAAACAAGAUAGAGAAAGCGCCUCACUCGGGAUCCACAAGCAAACAUUUCGGAAAACACUUCAUAGCCAAUGCAAAUUACAAACAGACUUUACAAGCUCUAAGCGGUCCCACAAUAAAGGAUCCAAAAUGGUCCACUACAGACCGAAUACCUCUCACAAGUGUCCACAUGACACAACCUUUAUUUACAAGCAUAAAACGACUACCAAACCCAACUAAAAUAGGGUUGUUAAGCCUUCGACUGUCCCUCUACAUACUGUGCAACACAUGAACAAACCAAAAGACACGGACAUACAUAAGCAUUACGUUAAAAGCCCUGUUUACAGUUUUGUCCGUGACAUUCUCCCCCACUUAUUCCUUCAACGUCCUCGUCGAAGCCUUUGCCGACAUUGCAACUCCAUGCCUUUGCUGAGUCUUCAAUCUUCUGCUCCUGCUGCAAUGCGUCUCUUGGCUCCCAGCUGCUCUCCGCUGCUGUUGUUGAGUAGUCGAACUUUUGAUCUACCAUGCUGCUUCAACUCGCCAAUGACUUUGACUCUAGUGUGUGGUUGGCUGAGUUGUGUCGAUCCCUGUUGGUCCCUGCGGAUCUUUCAUAUGAAAGAAAAGACCAUCCUUACUAUACUUCAGUCUCUCAAAUGCCUCAUGCUGGUUAAACUGGGUGGAUGCUUGUUGGAGAUUUAAUGAGCAUCGCCUCGUAAACUUUUGAAGCUUUCGGGUCCUUCCUCCACAAAUUUUGCCUAUCGACUCUUCUUUCACUUAGUUGUCACUUCCAAGUAGGUUCGCAUCACUUCCGCUUUCGAUUAGCAUUCUCUUGGGAAAUGAAGCAGAUAAUCUACUCUCAGUAGCACUGAUCACCAUUGGUGAGGAUUUGACAAAUAUUGUUUUCCAUUUUGUUUCUUCGAAGGGGCUUUGAACAUAUGCAGAGCUCCUCUGCUGGAUAGCUAAGAGAAUUAGGGUACUCGGUUUCGGCCAUUCUCUUAAGAGUUAAGAAGGCAAAGGGUAUUUGACUUCGCCCGCCUCCUCGAAGGUUGUACUCCACGCAUCGAGUUGGUUACUCAAUACAGUCCCCGCUGCGCCCCUCAAGGCCUAGCAACAUACUGAACUGGCUGCACACUUCAGCCUCCUAUAGACGUAUCCUUCUCAUGCUAAAGAGAAAGUUUCAAUGCUCUAUUGCAUUGAGUUUCGGUCGCAUUGGGAUAGCCACGAACACUCCAUCGUUCGCAUACAAGCCUUUACAUGAGUACCGAAUUCUUCGAGUUAGCAAUUCCCCUCACCUCUGUGAGCUUUGCACAACUCUUUCGGUCACUGAACAACUCAUUCUACCUUACAUAGUCUCAUCCUUUACCAAGUGCCUCGCUUGCCUUAAGCACCAUCAAGUAUGGUUGUCAACGUUAAGUCGUAGCUCAAACUCAACCAUCCUAGCCUUUGUGCCCUACGCAUUCUUCCCAACUUGCUUAUCCUCGUGGUGCCUCUUGCACGAAGGGUUGGUCAUUCCUCUGAAUGCCAAUCUCAAAUACCCGCUCCUCUGAGCGACUCCUUUUCCGGACCUCUCCAUGCUCGCUUUCCCCUAAACGGUCGCGCGUGCGGGCUGCCCUCAAUGCAGCCCCGCUAAGUCUCCCACGUUUGCAUGUCAAGUAUUUCUAUGAGUACUUGUCCCGCUCUGAUACCAUCUGUCAUUGACUUAGUUGGUUUUGCCUAAGUCGUGCGGCACUGUUGCGUGUCCAUCCGCAAAGGUCAGCCUCUCCGAAACAUCUCAUGGUCCCUUAGGACCUACGAAAGAGAAAACGAGUUAGAG
This 1978-nucleotide long non-coding RNA is filed under the name Musa acuminata (dwarf banana). RNAcentral's name for it is "long non-coding RNA (MACU_LNC011412)". Lineage: Eukaryota; Viridiplantae; Streptophyta; Magnoliopsida; Zingiberales; Musaceae. The record is from RNAcentral.